CCUACGGGUGGCAGCAGUGAGGAAUAUUGGUCAAUAGGCGCGAGCCUGAACCAGCCAAGUAGCGUGAGGGAUGAAUGCCCUACGGGUUGUAAACUUCUUUUAUAAGGGAAUAAAGUGAGGCACGUGUGCCUGUUUGUAUGUACUUUAUGAAUAAGGAUCGGCUAACUCCGUGCCAGCAGCCGCGGUAAUACGGAGGAUCCGAGCGUUAUCCGGAUUUAUUGGGUUUAAAGGGAGCGUAGAUGGGUUGUUAAGUCAGGUGUGAAAGUUUGCGGCUCAACCGUAAAAGUGCAAUUGAUACUGGCAGUCUUGAGUACAGGUGAGGUAGGCGGAAUUCGUGGUGUAGCGGUGAAAUGCUUAGAUAUCACGAAGAACCCCGAUUGCGAAGGCAGCUUACCAAACUGCCACUGACAUUGAUGCUCGAAAGUGUGGGUAUCAAACAGGAUUAGAUACCCCGGUAGUC
This 460-nucleotide ribosomal RNA is filed under the name uncultured bacterium. Its description in RNAcentral is "partial 16S ribosomal RNA". It matches the Rfam family "Bacterial small subunit ribosomal RNA", at positions 338 to 795 of the family's 1533-position model. The record is from RNAcentral.